Molecule: non-coding RNA, 25 nt
Filed under: Mus musculus (house mouse)
Lineage: Eukaryota; Metazoa; Chordata; Mammalia; Rodentia; Muridae
Source: RNAcentral
UGAAGGAUUUUGACAACCAGGGGAA